GCCAGAUGUGGUGGCGCACACCUGUAGUCCCAUCUACUUAGGAGGCUGAGGCAGGAGGAUUUCUUGUGCCCAGGAAUUUGAGGUUAUAGUGAGCUAUGAUUGUGCCACUGCACUCCAGCUUGGGCAACAGAGUGAAACCCUGUCUCUU
Molecule: unclassified non-coding RNA, 148 nt
Organism: Macaca fascicularis (crab-eating macaque)
Lineage: Eukaryota; Metazoa; Chordata; Mammalia; Primates; Cercopithecidae
Rfam family: Metazoan signal recognition particle RNA
About the family: The signal recognition particle (SRP) is a universally conserved ribonucleoprotein.
Source: Ensembl